RNAcentral lists this ribosomal RNA (159 nucleotides) under [Geosmithia] sp. NRRL 35678. RNAcentral describes it as "5.8S ribosomal RNA". It matches the Rfam family "5.8S ribosomal RNA". From Rfam's summary of the family: 5.8S ribosomal RNA (5.8S rRNA) is a component of the large subunit of the eukaryotic ribosome. It is transcribed by RNA polymerase I as part of the 45S precursor that also contains 18S and 28S rRNA. Lineage: Eukaryota; Fungi; Ascomycota; Eurotiomycetes; Eurotiales; Trichocomaceae. The record is from RNAcentral.
AAAACUUUCAACAACGGAUCUCUUGGUUCCGGCAUCGAUGAAGAACGCAGCGAAAUGCGAUAAGUAAUGUGAAUUGCAGAAUUCCGUGAAUCAUCGAAUCUUUGAACGCACAUUGCGCCCCCUGGUAUUCCGGGGGGCAUGCCUGUCUGAGCGUCAUUU